GANGNGCGUGGCNNNCACCCUAUACAUGCAAGCUCGAGCGGCAGCACGGGUACUUGUACCUGGUGGCGAGCGGCGGACGGGUGAGUAAUGCCUAGGAAUCUGCCUGGUAGUGGGGGAUAACGCUCGGAAACGGACGCUAAUACCGCAUACGUCCUACGGGAGAAAGCAGGGGACCUUCGGGCCUUGCGCUAUCAGAUGAGCCUAGGUCGGAUUAGCUAGUUGGUGAGGUAAUGGCUCACCAAGGCGACGAUCCGUAACUGGUCUGAGAGGAUGAUCAGUCACACUGGAACUGAGACACGGUCCAGACUCCUACGGGAGGCAGCAGUGGGGAAUAUUGGACAAUGGGCGAAAGCCUGAUCCAGCCAUGCCGCGUGUGUGAAGAAGGUCUUCGGAUUGUAAAGCACUUUAAGUUGGGAGGAAGGGCAGUUACCUAAUACGUGAUUGUUUUGACGUUACCGACAGAAUAAGCACCGGCUAACUCUGUGCCAGCAGCCGCGGUAAUACAGAGGGUGCAAGCGUUAAUCGGAAUUACUGGGCGUAAAGCGCGCGUAGGUGGUUUGUUAAGUUGAAUGUGAAAUCCCCGGGCUCAACCUGGGAACUGCAUCCAAAACUGGCAAGCUAGAGUAUGGUAGAGGGUGGUGGAAUUUCCUGUGUAGCGGUGAAAUGCGUAGAUAUAGGAAGGAACACCAGUGGCGAAGGCGACCACCUGGACUGAUACUGACACUGAGGUGCGAAAGCGUGGGGAGCAACAGGAUUANAUACCCUGGUAGUCCACGCCGUAAACGAUGUCAACUANCCGUUGGGNCCUNGAGCUCUUAGUGGNCANCUAACNCAUAANUNACNCCUGGGAGUNCGCCNCAGGUAAACUCANUAAUGACGGGNCCCCCACCGGGGACUGNGNUUAUUCAACACCGAAACUCCGGCUGNUCAUGAUCUUAAAAAGAUCUCGACUUAACGGCUCUGNUCNNUNGCGAUUGUAUCCACNCNCUUCUNUCCCUAGGCUNAANCGAANGANGGAACCUGCUNCGNCCUAGGCAGNCCGGNACANNCACCCGNNAAAAGGACCCCCCGGAANNGCUGGANGGCNA
Molecule: ribosomal RNA, 1088 nt
Filed under: Pseudomonas syringae
Lineage: Bacteria; Pseudomonadati; Pseudomonadota; Gammaproteobacteria; Pseudomonadales; Pseudomonadaceae
Description: partial 16S ribosomal RNA
Rfam family: Bacterial small subunit ribosomal RNA (bases 1-873)
Source: RNAcentral